UGAAUUGCUGCUCACUUCAGUAUUGUUCACCUGUAACAAUAUAGAGAAGAUUAGCAUGGCCCCUGCAUAAGGGUGAAUGCAGUAAAUCAUAGUUAAAAGACACCAUU
This 107-nucleotide small nuclear RNA is filed under the name Salvator merianae (Argentine black and white tegu). The record is from RNAcentral. Lineage: Eukaryota; Metazoa; Chordata; Lepidosauria; Squamata; Teiidae.